This 880-nucleotide ribosomal RNA is filed under the name Salmonella enterica subsp. enterica serovar Limete. RNAcentral's name for it is "partial 23S ribosomal RNA". It matches the Rfam family "Bacterial large subunit ribosomal RNA", at positions 711 to 1590 of the family's 2925-position model. Lineage: Bacteria; Pseudomonadati; Pseudomonadota; Gammaproteobacteria; Enterobacterales; Enterobacteriaceae. The record is from RNAcentral.
AGACCCGAAACCCGGUGAUCUAGCCAUGGGCAGGUUGAAGGUUGGGUAACACUAACUGGAGGACCGAACCGACUAAUGUUGAAAAAUUAGCGGAUGACCUGUGGCUGGGGGUGAAAGGCCAAUCAAACCGGGAGAUAGCUGGUUCUCCCCGAAAGCUAUUUAGGUAGCGCCUCGUGAAUUCAUCUCCGGGGGUAGAGCACUGUUUCGGCUAGGGGGCCAUCCCGGCUUACCAACCCGAUGCAAACUGCGAAUACCGGAGAAUGUUAUCACGGGAGACACACGGCGGGUGCUAACGUCCGUCGUGAAGAGGGAAACAACCCAGACCGCCAGCUAAGGUCCCAAAGUCAUGGUUAAGUGGGAAACGAUGUGGGAAGGCCCAGACAGCCAGGAUGUUGGCUUAGAAGCAGCCAUCAUUUAAAGAAAGCGUAAUAGCUCACUGGUCGAGUCGGCCUGCGCGGAAGAUGUAACGGGGCUAAACCAUGCACCGAAGCUGCGGCAGCGACACUGUGUGUUGUUGGGUAGGGGAGCGUUCUGUAAGCCUGCGAAGGUGGCCUGUGAGGGUUGCUGGAGGUAUCAGAAGUGCGAAUGCUGACAUAAGUAACGAUAAAGCGGGUGAAAAGCCCGCUCGCCGGAAGACCAAGGGUUCCUGUCCAACGUUAAUCGGGGCAGGGUGAGUCGACCCCUAAGGCGAGGCCGAAAGGCGUAGUCGAUGGGAAACGGGUUAAUAUUCCCGUACUUGGUGUUACUGCGAAGGGGGGACGGAGAAGGCUAUGUUGGCCGGGCGACGGUUGUCCCGGUUUAAGCGUGUAGGUGUGUGUUCCAGGUAAAUCCGGUUCACUUUAACACUGAGGCGUGACGACGAGGCACUACGGUGCUGAAG